UUUAAGUACACUGUGGGAGCAAAAGAUUUCCCCAACUCUAUUGCAAGACAGCUAUAUUCCAAGCAGACGAAGAGACCAAUCAGAGAGCAGCAGCAUCUAAACAGGAAGAACUCUGGAGGGUUUUACAUCAUAAAUGACGGGGGUUGAAACAUCUGAAAGAAGGUGCCGCUGCAGGGACACAAAGAAGAAUGGAGAAGAGAAACUGACUGGCUGAAGGGCGAGAAACCAAAAAAAACACACACGAUUGAACAAUUGAACCAUCUCCUCCAUUCUCAAACAGAAUGUGGAAGGAAAAGCUGCCGACACUGAGAAGAUAAAAUGGCACGCAAAAAAGCCAAAGGAGCAGGCAAGAAAAAAGAUGCCAAGGAGAAGCCUGAUGAUGCCAAGGAGAAGCCUGAUGAUGCCAAGCCUGCAGGGGAUGAAGGAGAAAAAAUUAUAAGUGAAAAAACACCCUUGGAAAAAAUAAUGAAUUUUUUUCAAACUCCACUGGGUCUAUUUCUGGCCAUAGUAAUCACCAUCUUCCUUGUUUUCUUGGCAGUACAAGCUGUCAUUAUGUGUCUGAAUGAGUGGGAAAAAACAGCUGACCUACGACAUGCAAUGCAGCUCGUUAAGACAUUUAUGAUGAGAAAAGAUUCAAGCUAUGAAGAUAAGGAUGAUAUUGAAACAAUUUUUGAUGCAGACAAGGUUGCAGAAGAGUUAGCUGUACUGGCUGUAAUGCUUAGUCAAUUGGAAGAAGAAAUAAUCAAAAUUCGUUACAAAUUGAAUCAUGACUGGAUGGCCCAUAAAGAUGCAAUCUAUUUAUUUGUUGUUCAACCACAGAACUGGACUGAAUCAAGAAAAUUUUGUAUGAGACAGAAUGCUAAACUGCUUCGGGUUGAAAAUGCUGAGGAGGAGGAGUUCAUAGAAGGAAUAGCCUAUGGAAAGCACAACUCUUAUUGGAUUGGAGCAAUUAAGGAAUCUAACAAAUGGAUAUGGUUGGAUGACAAGACAGAAGUGAAGCUAUUAUACUGGGCUGAAAAGAGCCCGAGAAAAGAAGAUACGACACCAGACCAGCCAUUUUGUAUGAGGUUAAAGAAUGACUGCACCAUACCAAGAAAAUGUUGGACUGAUAUUAGAUGCAAUUAUUGGGCACGGUCAAUCUGUAAGAUUAAGCCUCUGAAAAAAUGGAUGAACUGA
Molecule: long non-coding RNA, 1176 nt
Filed under: Pogona vitticeps (central bearded dragon)
Lineage: Eukaryota; Metazoa; Chordata; Lepidosauria; Squamata; Agamidae
Description: lncRNA (ENSPVIG00000006512.1)
Source: RNAcentral